Molecule: long non-coding RNA, 275 nt
Organism: Antechinus flavipes (yellow-footed antechinus)
Lineage: Eukaryota; Metazoa; Chordata; Mammalia; Dasyuromorphia; Dasyuridae
Exons: 3
Source: RefSeq, a predicted model, not a curated record
AGUUUUCUUGAUGAACAUAUUGGAGUGGUUUGCCAUUUCCUUCUCCAGUUCAUUUUUCAGAUGAGGAAUUGAGGAUGCUCCCUGAUGUGCCCUCAUUGUACCCAAAGAACAUCACAAUAAGAAGCUUUCUCUCUGGUUGUUUCCAAUGAGAUCAUAGGACUCAUCUCCAACCUUGGUGAAUAAAGACCUGAGUUUCAAUUGAUAAAUGACGGACAGAAGCAGCUACACCCGAAGAAAGAACACUGGGAAACGAAUGUGAACUAUCUGCAUUUUUG